AUUGAACGCUGGCGGAAUGCUUUACACAUGCAAGUCGAACGGUAGAGGGGGCAACCCCUCGAGAGUGGCGAACGGGUGAGUAAUAUAUCGGAACGUGCCCAGUCGUGGGGGAUAACGUAGCGAAAGUUACGCUAAUACCGCAUACGAUCUACGGAUGAAAGCGGGGGACUCGCAAGAGCCUCGCGCGAUUGGAGCGGCCGAUAUCAGAUUAGGUAGUUGGUGGGGUAAAGGCUCACCAAGCCAACGAUCUGUAGCUGGUCUGAGAGGACGACCAGCCACACUGGAACUGAGACACGGUCCAGACUCCUACGGGAGGCAGCAGUGGGGAAUUUUGGACAAUGGACGCAAGUCUGAUCCAGCCAUUCCGCGUGCAGGAUGAAGGCCCUCGGGUUGUAAACUGCUUUGUACGGACGAAAAAGGUCUCUAUUAAUACUAGGGGCUCAUGACGGUACCGUAAGAAUAAGCACCGGCUAACUACGUG
Molecule: ribosomal RNA, 481 nt
Filed under: uncultured bacterium
Lineage: Bacteria
Description: bacterial SSU rRNA
Rfam family: Bacterial small subunit ribosomal RNA
Source: RNAcentral